This 740-nucleotide long non-coding RNA is filed under the name Capsella rubella. RNAcentral describes it as "long non-coding RNA (CRUB_LNC001876)". The record is from RNAcentral. Lineage: Eukaryota; Viridiplantae; Streptophyta; Magnoliopsida; Brassicales; Brassicaceae.
UUAGAAUAAGACACGAGAUCGAAUAUUUUGAAAAAAAAAAUACAAUUAUGUAAAAAAUAGAUAUGAGGAAAAAGAUUAUUACAAAACAAGAAACAUAUAGCAGGUAUCGUAGAUUCGGUUAGUUUACAAAUGAAGUAAACUUUAGAUGACAGCCUAAGUAUCAUAAACUAACUAAAAUAAAGAAUAAGGAUUACCUGUUAAGGUUGGUUGUUUAGCUUUAAGAUAUGCUACAACUGGAAUCGGUUUGGUAUAAUAUAGCCGGUUAGUGGUUCAGGACCGGUCAGGUUAGGUUAAGAUUAGAUGUGAUGUUAGUUCAACACCUACCAAUCGUGUGUGUUUGGUCUUGGAGAGAGAUUCGAUUGGGAUCCGACGGCUCGUGACUCGUGAACGAUGGAAGAAGGAAGGGUGUGCACUGCAAUGCCAUUAUAGAGGGGAGAAUCGAAGCAGACGUAGGAUUUUUUUUUUUUUUUUUUUUUUUUCUUUGGGUUGACGUCAACCAUUGAAUAAAUGACACGUGGAAAACAUUAAGAAGAGCGUCUUGAUAAAAGAAUAAAUGCUUUUCUUUCAUUUGUUAAAAAGAAAGGAGAAAAAUAAAAAUACCUUGUCUAAUCCUUCACGCCGCGUCUUAGCCAUUUAAAAAAAAAAAAAAACAAAAAAGGAAAGCUUUCAGACAACACUGAGGUUUUGCUUUCAGCUUGGCUUAUAUAUUACAGUAUUAUUGUCUAUCGGCUCGGCUGGGC